This 53-nucleotide ribosomal RNA is filed under the name Desulfonauticus submarinus. The record is from RNAcentral. Lineage: Bacteria; Pseudomonadati; Thermodesulfobacteriota; Desulfovibrionia; Desulfovibrionales; Desulfonauticaceae.
GCGCCAAUGAUACUGCCCUAUUUAAAGGGUGGGAAAGUAGGUCGAUCCCAGAA